This 29-nucleotide non-coding RNA is filed under the name Rattus norvegicus (Norway rat). The record is from RNAcentral. Lineage: Eukaryota; Metazoa; Chordata; Mammalia; Rodentia; Muridae.
UGGUGCUGCUGUCUCUAUCACUGAUGAUU